GUGGGGAAUAUUGGACAAUGGGCGAAAGCCUGAUCCAGCCAUGCCGCGUGUGUGAAGAAGGUCUUCGGAUUGUAAAGCACUUUAAGUUGGGAGGAAGGGCAGUAAGUUAAUACCUUGCUGUUUUGACGUUACUCGCAGAAUAAGCACCGGCUAACUCUGUGCCAGCAGCCGCGGUAAUACAGAGGGUGCAAGCGUUAAUCGGAUUUACUGGGCGUAAAGCGCGCGUAGGUGGUUUUGUAAGUUGGAGGUGAAAUCCCCGGGCUCAACCUGGGAACUGCCUCCAAAACUGCAUGACUAGAGUACGGUAGAGGGUAGUGGAAUUUCCUGUGUAGCGGUGAAAUGCGUAGAUAUAGGAAGGAACACCAGUGGCGAAGGCGACUACCUGGACUGAUACUGACACUGAGGUGCGAAAGCGUGGGGAGCAAACAGGAUUAGAAACCCUUGUAGUCC
Molecule: ribosomal RNA, 450 nt
Filed under: uncultured bacterium
Lineage: Bacteria
Description: partial 16S ribosomal RNA
Rfam family: Bacterial small subunit ribosomal RNA
Source: RNAcentral